GAAAAGAAACUAACUAGGAUUCCCCCAGUAACUGCGAGUGAAGAGGGAAGAGCUCAUCAUUGGAAUCUGGCAGCGUUGCGCUGUCCGAGUUGUAGAUGAGAAGAGUGGGACAUCUGGACUGCAUGGUGUCCAAGUACAAUAGGCCGUCAGUGGGACAUCAUAGAGGGUGACAAUCCCGUCCUUGACACCAAUGUACGAGUCCUUUACGAUGCCUAUCUCGGAGAGUCGAGCAGUUUGGGAUUUGCUGCUUAAACACGGGAGGUAGAUUCCUUCCAAAGCUAAAUACAGGCAAGAGACCGAUAGUGAACAAGUACCGCAAGGGAAAGAUGAAAUAGAACUCUGUGAAGGGAGUCAAAAAGACGUGAAAUUGUUGCGAGAGAAGCGAUUCAAGUCAGCGUAGCUGGGCCCAUCAAGCCUCGCGCUUUGGACCAGCUUUGCCAGCGGUCUUGUCCCUAGAGACUUGACUAAGGUGCCCUGCCCGGUCUAACGGACAGGCCUCCCCUCUGGGGAGGCCAGUGGCAUGGCUGGUGGAAUGGCUUGCAAUCGACCCGUCUUGAAACACGGACCAAGGAGUCUAACAUGUACGCGAGUAUAAGGGUGGCAAACCCGUAUGCGCAAAGAAAGUGAUAGCCUUCAUGGCUGAGAAUGACCUGACGACCAGACAAGAAAUAUCAUGUCCCUCGUACGGUCAUUGCCCAAGUCCCAUGGUCAGAUCCCAUGGACAUGGAGUUGGAGCGUGCAUGCUAGGACCCGAAAGAUGGUGAACUAUGCCUGGACAAAGCGAAGCCAAAGGAAACUCUGGUGGAGGCUUGUAGCGAUUCUGACGUGCAAAUCGAUCGUCUGAUCUGGGUAUAGGGGCGAAAGACUAAUCGAACCAUCUCAUAGCUGGUUCCUGCCGAAGUUUCCCUCAGGA
Molecule: ribosomal RNA, 913 nt
Filed under: Cantharellus zangii
Lineage: Eukaryota; Fungi; Basidiomycota; Agaricomycetes; Cantharellales; Hydnaceae
Description: partial large subunit ribosomal RNA
Rfam family: Eukaryotic large subunit ribosomal RNA
Source: RNAcentral